UGUAGAACCUCUAUAUGUCUGGGAGCGGGGGAUCGACCGCUCAACGACUACAGAUCUGUCAUCUACUACCAGGUCAAACAACCACGCUGGAUGGAGACGUUCAAGGUGGCCAUCCCUUUGGAGGAGAUGCACAGGAUCCACCUGCGCUUCAUGUUCAGACACCGCUCCUCUCAGGAGUCUAAGGAUAAGAGUGAGAAGACUUUGCCAUGGCAUUUGUUCGCCUGAUGAAGGAAGAUGGAACCGUGCUGAAGGACGGGCUUCAUGACCUGGUGGUCUUCAAGGGGGACAGUAAGCGUAUGGAGGAUGUGAACUCGUACCUGUCCCUACCCUCUACGCGUUAUGUGGACGUUCACAAGACGGGACACUGAGCCGCAGCACCAG
Oncorhynchus kisutch (coho salmon) is the source of this 381-nucleotide long non-coding RNA. RefSeq lists it as uncharacterized. The transcript has 4 exons. Lineage: Eukaryota; Metazoa; Chordata; Actinopteri; Salmoniformes; Salmonidae. The record is from RefSeq and is a predicted model, not a curated record.